This 497-nucleotide ribosomal RNA is filed under the name uncultured bacterium. RNAcentral describes it as "partial 16S ribosomal RNA". It matches the Rfam family "Bacterial small subunit ribosomal RNA", at positions 28 to 507 of the family's 1533-position model. The record is from RNAcentral.
GAUGAACGCUGGCGGCGUGCCUAAUACAUGCAAGUCGAGCGAACAGACGAGGAGCUUGCUCCUCUGACGUUAGCGGCGGACGGGUGAGUAACACGUGGAUAACCUACCUAUAAGACUGGGAUAACUUCGGGAAACCGGAGCUAAUACCGGAUAAUAUAUUGAACCGCAUGGUUCAAUAGUGAAAGACGGUUUUGCUGUCACUUAUAGAUGGAUCCGCGCCGCAUUAGCUAGUUGGUAAGGUAACGGCUUACCAAGGCAACGAUGCGUAGCCGACCUGAGAGGGUGAUCAGCCACACUGGAACUGAGACACGGUCCAGACUCCUACGGGAGGCAGCAGUAGGGAAUCUUCCGCAAUGGGCGAAAGCUUGACGGAGCAACGCCGCGUGAGUGAUGAAGGUCUUCGGAUCGUAAAACUCUGUUAUUAGGGAAGAACAAAUGUGUAAGUAACUAUGCACGUCUUGACGGUACCUAAUCAGAAAGCCACGGCUGACUACGUG